RNAcentral lists this ribosomal RNA (466 nucleotides) under uncultured bacterium. RNAcentral describes it as "partial 16S ribosomal RNA". It matches the Rfam family "Bacterial small subunit ribosomal RNA", at positions 28 to 507 of the family's 1533-position model. The record is from RNAcentral.
GAUGAACGCUGGCGGCGUGCUUAACACAUGCAAGUCGAACGAUGAAGCUCAGCUUGCUGGGUGGAUUAGUGGCGAACGGGUGAGUAACACGUGAGUAACCUGCCCUUAACUCUGGGAUAAGCCUGGGAAACUAGGUCUAAUACCGGAUAGGAGCGCCUACCGCAUGGUGGGUGUUGGAAAGAUUUAUCGGUUUUGGAUGGACUCGCGGCCUAUCAGCUUGUUGGUGAGGUAAUGGCUCACAAAGGCGACGACGGGUAUCCGGCGUGAGAGGGUGACCGGCCACACUGCGACUGAGACACGGCCCAGACUCCUACGGUAGGCAGCAGUGGGGAAUAUUGCACAAUGAUCGAAAGCCUGAUGCAGCGACGCCGCGUGUGGAAUGCCCGCCUUCGGGUUAUAAACCUCUUUCAGUAGGUAAGAAGCGAAAGUGACGGUACCUGCAGAAUAAGCACCGGCUAACUACGUG